AUGGAUACAAGGCUCCUGAGGUCGCUUUCUCCUGUAAGAGAAUUUUUAAGGGCCACAUCCGUACAUAUUGAUAUCUUUCCUGCAGCUACUGUUGGUGGUUGCAACAUCCAAGGAACAAGCAGCCACAAACUACUGCAAGUCCAACCGCACACAAGGACUAUGGUGGACUCCAUGUAUGGAUAUGUCUUGAAGGAUGGUGGCCCAGUUGGAGUGAUGGUGAUGUGGGACUGCCCUAAGAUAUUUCUUUGGGAUGAACCGAAGACAUGUAUGAUAAAGAUCAUUCAUGGACAGGGCAACAAGCUUUUGGAGGAUGCACCAAGUGCUAGCACUAGUGCUUUAUUAUUGCCUGGUUUUAUAUGCAAGCAGAGUACAUCUGUGCAUGCCUAUGAUAACUUGUCCAUCACCAAUAUCCCUCCACCUCUCGACGGAUCAGGAUGGCAGAGUCUAAGAUGGUGCCGAGUCGAGAGGUGCCCCAAGCUACACACGGUCUUCAAUAUUGGGCAGGGCAAUGGUGCGUCCAGCUUUAGGCGUCUGGAGACAUUAUGGUUGUCCCAGCUUCUGACGGCAGAGACAUUUACUACGUCAAUUCUGACCUUUUGUAGCCUGGAGUUCUUGCACCUGGACUGCUGUCCCAGGCUCUUACACGUGUUCACCUUGGCCAGCAGAAAUUCAGGGAGGUUCUUCUGUAGUUAUUUGCAGACCCUCGAGAUAGUGUACUGUGAUGAUCUAAGGGAGGUCUUCCCUUUGGCCCCUGGGCGCCAAAAACAGGAUACAAUUAUAGAAUUUCCCUAUCUGAGGAGCAUCCACCUGCAUGAGGUCCCCAAGCUGCAGCACAUAUAUGGGUGCAGGAUGUGGGCGCCUAUACUCGAGACCGUCAAGAUCCGAGGCUGUUGGAGCCUUAGGCGUCUGCCGUCCGUCGGCCGCGACACCAAGCCACCCAAGGUGGACUGCGAGAAGGCCUGGUGGGAUAACCUUGAGUGGGACGGGUUGAAUAAGUACCAUCACCCUUCCCUCUACGAGCCAAGCCACUCGCUGUACUACAAGGCCGAGCUGCCCAGAGGCACCAUACUCAGGUAA
RNAcentral lists this ribosomal RNA (1077 nucleotides) under Triticum aestivum (bread wheat). RNAcentral describes it as "partial small subunit ribosomal RNA". Lineage: Eukaryota; Viridiplantae; Streptophyta; Magnoliopsida; Poales; Poaceae. The record is from RNAcentral.